GGGUUGUGAGGUUAAGCGACUAAGCGUACACGGUGGAUGCCCUGGCAGUCAGAGGCGAUGAAGGACGUGCUAAUCUGCGAUAAGCGUCGGUAAGGUGAUAUGAACCGUUAUAACCGGCGAUUUCCGAAUGGGGAAACCCAGUGUGUUUCGACACACUAUCAUUAACUGAAUCCAUAGGUUAAUGAGGCGAACCGGGGGAACUGAAACAUCUAAGUACCCCGAGGAAAAGAAAUCAACCGAGAUUCCCCCAGUAGCGGCGAGCGAACGGGGAGCAGCCCAGAGCCUGAAUCAGUGUGUGUGUUAGUGGAAGCGUCUGGAAAGGCGCGCGAUACAGGGUGACAGCCCCGUACACAAAAAUGCACAUACUGUGAGCUCGAUGAGUAGGGCGGGACACGUGGUAUCCUGUCUGAAUAUGGGGGGACCAUCCUCCAAGGCUAAAUACUCCUGACUGACCGAUAGUGAACCAGUACCGUGAGGGAAAGGCGAAAAGAACCCCGGCGAGGGGAGUGAAAAAGAACCUGAAACCGUGUACGUACAAGCAGUGGGAGCACGCUUAGGCGUGUGACUGCGUACCUUUUGUAUAAUGGGUCAGCGACUUAUAUUCUGUAGCAAGGUUAACCGAAUAGGGGAGCCGAAGGGAAACCGAGUCUUAACUGGGCGUUAAGUUGCAGGGUAUAGACCCGAAACCCGGUGAUCUAGCCAUGGGCAGGUUGAAGGUUGGGUAACACUAACUGGAGGACCGAACCGACUAAUGUUGAAAAAUUAGCGGAUGACUUGUGGCUGGGGGUGAAAGGCCAAUCAAACCGGGAGAUAGCUGGUUCUCCCCGAAAGCUAUUUAGGUAGCGCCUCGUGAAUUCAUCUCCGGGGGUAGAGCACUGUUUCGGCAAGGGGGUCAUCCCGACUUACCAACCCGAUGCAAACUGCGAAUACCGGAGAAUGUUAUCACGGGAGACACACGGCGGGUGCUAACGUCCGUCGUGAAGAGGGAAACAACCCAGACCGCCAGCUAAGGUCCCAAAGUCAUGGUUAAGUGGGAAACGAUGUGGGAAGGCCCAGACAGCCAGGAUGUUGGCUUAGAAGCAGCCAUCAUUUAAAGAAAGCGUAAUAGCUCACUGGUCGAGUCGGCCUGCGCGGAAGAUGUAACGGGGCUAAACCAUGCACCGAAGCUGCGGCAGCGACGCUUAUGCGUUGUUGGGUAGGGGAGCGUUCUGUAAGCCUGCGAAGGUGUGCUGUGAGGCAUGCUGGAGGUAUCAGAAGUGCGAAUGCUGACAUAAGUAACGAUAAAGCGGGUGAAAAGCCCGCUCGCCGGAAGACCAAGGGUUCCUGUCCAACGUUAAUCGGGGCAGGGUGAGUCGACCCCUAAGGCGAGGCCGAAAGGCGUAGUCGAUGGGAAACAGGUUAAUAUUCCUGUACUUGGUGUUACUGCGAAGGGGGGACGGAGAAGGCUAUGUUGGCCGGGCGACGGUUGUCCCGGUUUAAGCGUGUAGGCUGGUUUUCCAGGCAAAUCCGGAAAAUCAAGGCUGAGGCGUGAUGACGAGGCACUACGGUGCUGAAGCAACAAAUGCCCUGCUUCCAGGAAAAGCCUCUAAGCAUCAGGUAACAUCAAAUCGUACCCCAAACCGACACAGGUGGUCAGGUAGAGAAUACCAAGGCGCUUGAGAGAACUCGGGUGAAGGAACUAGGCAAAAUGGUGCCGUAACUUCGGGAGAAGGCACGCUGAUAUGUAGGUGAGGUCCCUCGCGGAUGGAGCUGAAAUCAGUCGAAGAUACCAGCUGGCUGCAACUGUUUAUUAAAAACACAGCACUGUGCAAACACGAAAGUGGACGUAUACGGUGUGACGCCUGCCCGGUGCCGGAAGGUUAAUUGAUGGGGUUAGCGCAAGCGAAGCUCUUGAUCGAAGCCCCGGUAAACGGCGGCCGUAACUAUAACGGUCCUAAGGUAGCGAAAUUCCUUGUCGGGUAAGUUCCGACCUGCACGAAUGGCGUAAUGAUGGCCAGGCUGUCUCCACCCGAGACUCAGUGAAAUUGAACUCGCUGUGAAGAUGCAGUGUACCCGCGGCAAGACGGAAAGACCCCGUGAACCUUUACUAUAGCUUGACACUGAACAUUGAGCCUUGAUGUGUAGGAUAGGUGGGAGGCUU
This 2140-nucleotide ribosomal RNA is filed under the name Escherichia coli. Its description in RNAcentral is "partial 23S ribosomal RNA". It matches the Rfam family "Bacterial large subunit ribosomal RNA", at positions 1 to 2157 of the family's 2925-position model. Lineage: Bacteria; Pseudomonadati; Pseudomonadota; Gammaproteobacteria; Enterobacterales; Enterobacteriaceae. The record is from RNAcentral.